This 301-nucleotide ribosomal RNA is filed under the name uncultured bacterium. Its description in RNAcentral is "partial 16S ribosomal RNA". It matches the Rfam family "Bacterial small subunit ribosomal RNA", at positions 509 to 807 of the family's 1533-position model. The record is from RNAcentral.
CAGCAGCCGCGGUAAUACGGAGGGUGCAAGCGUUAAUCGGAAUUACUGGGCGUAAAGCGCACGCAGGCGGUCUGACAAGUCAGAUGUGAAAUCCCCGGGCUUAACCUGGGAACUGCAUUUGAAACUGUCAGGCUGGAGUCUUGUAGAGGGGGGUAGAAUUCCAGGUGUAGCGGUGAAAUGCGUAGAGAUCUGGAGGAAUACCGGUGGCGAAGGCGGCCUCCUGGACAAAGACUGACGCUCAGGUGCGAAAGCGUGGGGAGCAAACAGGAUUAGAUACCCGUGUAGUCCCUGUCUCUUAUAC